AACGAACGCUGGCGGCAUGCCUAACACAUGCAAGUCGAACGAGACCUUCGGGUCUAGUGGCGCACGGGUGCGUAACGCGUGGGAACCUGCCCUUAGGUUCGGAAUAACUCCCCGAAAGGGGUGCUAAUACCGGAUAAUGUCUUCGGACCAAAGAUUUAUCGCCUUUGGAUGGGCCCGCGUUGGAUUAGCUAGUUGGUAGGGUAAAAGCCUACCAAGGCGACGAUCCAUAGCUGGUCUGAGAGGAUGAUCAGCCACACUGGGACUGGGACACGGCCCAGACUCCUACGGGAGGCAGCAGUGGGGAAUAUUGGACAAUGGGCGAAAGCCUGAUCCAGCAAUGCCGCGUGAGUGAUGAAGGCCUUAGGGUUGUAAAGCUCUUUUACCCGGGAUGAUAAUGACAGUACCGGGAGAAUAAGCGCCGGCUAACUCCGUG
RNAcentral lists this ribosomal RNA (433 nucleotides) under uncultured bacterium. RNAcentral's name for it is "partial 16S ribosomal RNA". It matches the Rfam family "Bacterial small subunit ribosomal RNA", at positions 29 to 507 of the family's 1533-position model. The record is from RNAcentral.